Molecule: non-coding RNA, 12057 nt
Organism: Rattus norvegicus (Norway rat)
Lineage: Eukaryota; Metazoa; Chordata; Mammalia; Rodentia; Muridae
Source: RefSeq, a predicted model, not a curated record
CGGCCAUUUGCUGAUAAAUCAAAGGAGCCUGCUACUUCCGGGAGCCAUAGAAAGAUGGUGCGCAUGCGUGGCAGCAGCUCAGGGGCCUGUGUCAACCAUCGGAGUAACAUACUACGAGAACACAAAGCAUGCUGGGAAGUCCACAGCAGUGUAACGCAGCUUUGGGGGCACCCCUUUCCUCAGUCUUUUUCUGUUUUCAGACAUACGGAUCACGAUGCGUUGUUCUCAUUCACUCCCCUCUCCCACUGCCCUCCCUCAGUCCCCUUUUCUUCUUUCUCCCUUCUCCCAGAUAGACCCCCUCUUCUGCUGUGUGUGUGUAGACCAGAGGUUGGGGGUUUGUACCAGAAGCAGUGUAGCUGGAUUCUAUGACAUUUCUUUUUCACUUUUGGAGACCCCUCCAUCUUGAUUCAACAGUGGCUGCAACCGUUGACAUCCCCUGCCAGCAGCGGCCUCCAUUUCCUCACACCCCUACCUCACACCUGAAUCUUAACCAGCAUGGUGGUUCGGCCUUUAGAUUACGGGUGGGUGCGAGAAGAGUUUCAGCUCCCGUGUCUCUCAGAUCUCGGUAAUGGUUUUUGAUUGCUUGUUAAGGAACACGAGGAGUGUUUUUAUGAUGUCUUUCGUCAUAAAUAUAAAAAUGUGAUCUAUGCUUGCACCCUGAAAGUAUUCAGAUUGGUCUUGGGUUCCAUGUCCUGUUGCUCUGUGAGGUGCUUCUAGCUUCUUGGCUUUUAGAACACAUUCCUACGCACAUAGGAAAUUGAGUAUGAGGGAUUUUCAAAUUUUAGAACUUGAAUGCCAAGUGUCCUCUCGCUCACACAUUGAAUGGGUAGCAGUGAAUACAGAUUAUCUUACCCCACGCCCUUGCCCUUGGGGAUCAUGCCAUGGACCACAGGAACAUGAAGUUGACCUCACCUCCCUUCUUCUCCCCUCCCUACUCCUCCUUGAACCCUGCCUGAGAGGGGAGGGCUCUCUGAAGUAUCUGUUUAUUGACAGUGAAGGAAAAGAACAUUCAGAAUACAGAAGGGGGGUCAGGGAAGGCCUGGCUGGCAGGUCCACAGUUCUUUGUAGAUGACUUUACUCAUAAUUACCAAACCCUUUCAUUAUCAAUGGCCCUUCCUUAUCCAUGGUCAGUGAACAGUGUCUGAGAGGAAGAGGGGUUUACAGGAGAACGAGAUGAGUGGGUGAAGGGUUGUCAGUUAUACCACAGCAAAGGGUUCUAUCAUGGGUGCCAGGAGGGUGAGGCUCAGUCAGUGUGCCUACUGUGUUCCUGGUUCUCAGAGCCAGCUCUCUCAUACUGGUGUGUCAUCAGUAUUAGUGACUUUUCUCAUCCUUGCGAGCAAAUACUUUGAGAAGAAUCAAUGUAAAGGAGGAGGAAGCUAUUUUGGGUCCAGUUUGAGGAAACGCAGCUCCUCAGGAAGCAGAGAGAGGAGGACAGAAGUGGAAUAAAGCUGGCCUAGAGGGCCUCAAGGCCUACCCCAGUGUUACUCAGAAGCUGUCCAUAGCGUACUCCUGAAGAAUGAUUUCCAGAUUCAAAGGGGGAAAAGUGACGUCUUUGGUUGGGGACAGUUUGUGGUCAAAGAAGCAACGGGAAGUGACUCCUAAGACAAUGGCACGAUGCACCCACCAUCUGUAAUCACAGUAUCUCCAGGUGUCCCAGGCGGGUACUAGCCACUCUAGAGAAUGUUUUCUCAAUGGGGUUCUUACGAUAGACACUUCUUUUUUCUUUCCUGUGUGCUUUACCUGCAGGGACUUAAUUCCACACCGACACUGCCCCCAGAAUCCACCCCACAACAUGUAAGCUCAGACCCAUUUAUAUUCCCCGAGGGCUUUCAGUUUAUGAGCUAUCCAGGGACCGUAUUAGGUAGGGAUGAAAUGGGGGGUGUUUACAAACUGGCAACGAAACACGAUAUUUAUCCUGUCAGUUCAAACAAGCCUGGCAGAUGUAGUUUCUUUCUUUUUUUUUUUUCAUUAAAAUUAAAAUGGUAAGACAUACCGCAUUACUCUGCGCGAUGCCACCAGAUGUACAGCGUGCUUCUGACAAAGAGGCGGCCUGUGGUCAUUUGAGCCAGGCUGUGGCUUCUAACAAUUUGGUACAGGAACACUUGUUACGAGCAUUUACCUGAGAAGAAGCCCCACCCAGGUCAGACACAUGGAACGGGACCCGUCAGGCUUGUGACACUGAAGGUAGAAAUUAUUGGUGAUGUCUUUCCCUGGUGAGAAACAUCUUCACUAUCAGAGAAGAGCUUCAGGGAACAAAAGUAAGGUGAAUCUCUCAGACUUGUGGUGAGGAAUGACCCUGCACUCACAGUCCUCCUGCCUCCCAAGCGCUUCUUGCUAAUUUUUUUCAUUUUAAUCUGCGACAGUGGUUCUUGUCUCAGACCAUUGGACUAUGAUCUGAUCACAUAGUCUGGGUACACACCCUCUUUCCUUCAGUGUUCUUUACUUCUCAGUCGACGUCCAAAACCCCAAGUAGGAGGGGACGGAAGAAAGAACUGAUGCAACUGUUUUUCUGAGCAAGGGCCUCCAUUUUCCUGUUUUCAGGAUGCUCUUGUGUAUAGGUUGUGACUAUGAACCUUCUCCAUAUUACCGAUCAGUGAUCAAUAAUUUUGGGCAGUUCUUGCUCCUAAAAUAAUAUUGCCAACAAAUCUCUAAGAGACCUUUCUGGUAGAACUUCCUGAGGGCUCUGUGGCCCAGGGGCUGGAGCUGGCGCCAAUAGGAAUACAUCAUCUCAGAGGGUCCUGAGUGCCACAAUGGUAUGGGAACCCUUCCUCUCACACAUUCCUCUUUUGCACGUGCUCUUUGGUACAGGACCUAAGCCCAACGCUGUCUGGCUGUCAUAGCCAAUCCCCAUCUAAUUGUAUCUUUUGUCAUUACCUUGUCCGCACCCUGUGGAACCCGGUAUAUGUCCCUGCAGCGUGGCCAGCUGCUCAUUAGCAACCUUCACACUGCGUUUACAUGUUCCCUUGUGUGUGAUGCAUCUUGGGGGAUAUGUUCAUGAGGCUGUCAAUCAAGGCAGGAAAGGAAUCAAUGCUGGAACAAAGAAAGGGCUUAGAACUAAGCACUGGAUCACAUUUGUCCUGGACUGAUAAGAAUGAAUUUUGUCAGUGGUAAUACUUUUCCUUGGUCACCAGCCGCAAGAUGACGGAAAGACAGAAUAGCAACCCAUCACUCACACACCCAUGACGGGUUUCAUUAACAGCAAACCCGUCCCACAAAUAAAAUGCCAUCACUGGACAACUGGAAUCCUUAAAGGAAGAUGAACAAGUGGCCCCAGGCUAUCCACCUGAAUGAAAGGCUAAUGUCAACAGCUUCCCGACUGGACUGUAACUAUGGAGGAAUGCGAGCUAACAUGAUCAUGGUCACUCUAGAGCAACCGGCACAAAUCAGAGUAUCUGCACCCACAGACAGAGUGUGGAGAUGUUCCCUGACAUAACUAGUAUUGUGGGUUGAAUUACUUCCCUGUCCCCAACUUCUUAUGUUGACGCCUUAACUGCAGGCAUCCCAGGAUGUGACCUUAGAAACAGAGAACACUGAUAUCAUCAGCUGGGAGGUGACAUGCUGGGGGACAGUGGGCCAAUGAGGUUAUGUGUCUGUGGCUAUGGAUUCAAUGUUGUCUCUUCUGUAAUUCCCACUGGAAGAUAACUACAUCAUAACAGUAUUAAAGGUGGGACCUCAUUAAGAUUAUUAAGGCAUGUGCUGUUCUGUCUUUCUGUUAAUGCUACUAUUCGGGGGUGGGGGUGGCGGGGGAUUCCUUACAGAUGGACAAGUUUAGCCUCUGGCGCCUCUCUCUUGCCUAAGUGAUGCCUUCUACCACAGAAUAACCCAGCCAGAAGGCCUUCCCACAUGUCCUGGGCAUCCCCGUGUUCAGACUCCUACAGAUAAACUUGUGUUCACUACACACUCAUCCUCAGGCACUUCGCUAUAGCAGGGCAAAUGGAUAAAGACAAACAGCACGCUUCUGAAGGGGGGAGAUUCGAACCCAGGUGGUGGUGCCACACACCUUUAAUCCCAGCACUUGGGAGGUAGAGGCAGGCAGAUGUCUGUGAGUUCAAGGCUAGCCUGGUCUACAGAGUAAUUUCCAAGACACCCAGGGCUACAUAGAGAAACUCUGCCUUGAAAAAAACAAAAAACAAAAAACAAAAAGACAACAAGGGGGCGGGGGGAAGACACACACAUUAAAUAACUUAGAAGUCAAUACGGACGGCUCCAAUUUAAUUAUGAAAAAGAAAGGAAACCCACUGAAUUAAAAAAAAAAAAAGCCAACAAUCUGUUGUUCAGAAGAAAUAGAUUUGUACCAAGUCAUUUUCCGUAGCUGGGUUGGGAAAGGUUUGAGACCUAACUCGUGUGAUACCAGAGCAGAAGAUACUGCGGGCUUUUCCAUCUGUCGUUUCUUUCCCCUGGUGAAUCCUGCUAGGCUUGCAAGGCCAGGCCUCGGGUCCCUGCCAGCUCAGUAUUAAUGACAAAGCACGCACACACGCGAAGCAUAAGGUUUGUUGAGCUCUCUGAGCAUAGGUAUGUGCGUACACACACACACACACACACACACACACACACACACACACACACACACACACACACACACACACAGGUCAUUGACCAGGAGGAGAAGGAUGUUCUGCCCAUCCUCCCUUCACACAGCAAAGUGUACGCCCUCAGAGGAUCUGGGUUGCCUAGAGAGGGUGGUUCGCUAGGCCUGCGGCAAACAGUAAAUUGAAAGCAUUGCCAGAGUCCCCCUCUGGAAGCUUCCCACAGGCUGUGGGAAUGGUAGCAGGAUUAGAGAUUAGCUGAGUUCUCCGCUUGUUUGCUUUGUUUUGUGAUAGCUGCUGAGAGCGCUGGGGACCUACCGGAGCAGACAAAGACCACUUCACGCUGUUUGCAGAUGGGAGGUGGAGUGCUUUCUGCUCUGAGUGCUUUAUUUCAGGACUGAAAUAAACAAGCUUGCCCUCGAGUUCAUCUGAAGCUACAAAGGAGCUGCCGUCCCUUCCCCUUCUUCCCUGGCUCCAGUGCCUUUCCUCUCUCCCUUCUCCAGAUUUUUCUUCUUUUCUCUCUGGCUUCCUUUCUUUCCUUUGUUCUUUGCUUUCUCCCUACUUUAUUUUCUUCCUUUCAGAAGGAGGAUAAAGGAAUAAAUAAAUAAAGGGUAUGAAGGGAAGGUUUGGGAUCCCAAAGGGCUCCAGGCUGGGUGCACCAACAGGACACAGGGACCUAAUGGCAGAACGGAGGAGAAAAAAGUCAAGGGGUCCUGGGCAUGCUAAAACAAGCAGCAGGGAGCCCGGGGUCUCAUGACUAGGGAGAGUGAAGGAAGAGAACAGAGAGUGGCUGAGGGCUGUGUGUGCUUCCGGACCAACAGUAUUUGAGAUGUACGUGGGACACCGGAACUUAAAGUGAAGAAUUCCCUCUACCUGGACGCACACACCGGGGGCAUCAGCAGCAGCUGUGACUAGCCCUGUGGAAAUGAAUGGAGAUGAUCAGGGAGAGACCAGGUUUGCUAGGGCCUUCUCUGAUGGUAAGGGAAGACAUCUUAAAGGAAUGAGUGCUAUAGGAGGAGGGGAAGACAGAGAAAGAAACUGGUUGGAGUAGACCACAUAGAAUUGUUUUAUUAUAUAAAGGAGGAAAAAUACUUAAAGAAGUUAGUAGUUCAGGAGAGAAAUUCUUCAAGGGAGCUGCUUUCUGACUGUAGAUGUAAUUUGACCAGCGGCCCCAAGUUCCUGUUCCUAGUCUUCCCUACCACAAUAGACAUGACUUCCAAACUGUUAACCUAAGUAAGUCUUUUCUCCCUUAAGUUGCUUUUGUUGAGUAUUUUAUCUGAGCAAAGAGAAAAGUAAAUAAUACGUGUGCUUUGGGCCCGGCUGUAAGCACUGAACACGGGGCAGGCACUCAUUGCUCAGGAGUAUAGGACGAUCACAGUCUGUCACAUGGACCCUUCCCCGAGGCUUCUGGGCUUCUGCCCACGGUUACUCAUUGUAUAUGACAACGAUUAAAUCGAUCGAAUGUCAGGGAAAACAUGUGAGCCAGAAGAGUCAAUGUUGCAGAAACAACUAAGUUUAGGAUAACCUGACUCAAAACGCUGUUUAAAAAAAAUGCGAAGGCGAUGAAGCCAGCUGGCUGACAUGUUCCAAGAGUGUGGGCAGCCCUUCAACACUGCUUUCUUAAUAAUUAACUCCUACACGUCACUUUUCCCGCCUUGGAGGCUGAUGGACAAAGACACAGAGAAGCAAGCAGGAGCAGAAUGGUUUCUGAGGUGGAUGCCAUUGGCUCAAGCCUCCCUCCUUUACGGCUUCCUACACACCAUGGCGAUGUGGGUAAUGUUUGCACGCUGCCGCUGCCCCGGCCCGUCUCUCUUCCUGUGUAAGCCUUGAGCUAUAGAAAAUUAGGAAGUCCUGAGCCCAGAGAACCUUGCAGGAAAGACACCUCAAUACUGGGAUUCUUUGGUUGCUACUUGUGGAAAGGCCACUUCUAUCUCAGGGACAGCAUCGGGGAAUUACAGAAUUUUUUUUUUUUAAAUGUCUCUGUUUAGGCUAGGAGAUGCUGACCACAGACAGAAAAUAAGGAUAAACAGCCAGCCACAGGGUUGCACACCUAUCAUGCUCACUAGGCUGAGGCAGGAGGAUCAUUUGAGCUCAGGAGUUUGAGAUCAUCCUGGAUAACAGGGUGAUCUCAAAACCAAGCCCCAUUUUCCUCAAAAAGCAAAACACAAGAGUUCUAACUUUUGAAGAAAAAUGAUUUUAAAGAUGCUGAUGAUUAAUGGAAUUUCUACAGAAAGUCCUUUGGGAUUCUGAAGAGCAAUAUUAAGUUAUUAUUUGUGUGUGUGUGUGUGUGUGUGUGUGUGUGUGUGUGUGUGUGUUUGUGUGUGUGUGUGUGUGUGUUUGUGUUCAUAAAUCUGGAGGCCAGGAGAAGACUUCAGAUCCCUCAGAGCUUACAAAUAUUUGUGGAACACUUAGCUUGUUCCGAAGGUCCUGGGUUUGAACUUAGGUCCCCGGGAUUGUGUGGCAAGCACCCCUUAAACCCAGAGUCCUCUUUUCCACCCUAAAUUAUUAUAUGUUUCAGAUGGGAAACUUAUGAUACAGAUUUUUCUCUUUCUUUUUUCAAUUUUCACUGUGUGGACUUUGUUUGGUCUGCUCUAAGGCCUGAGUCAGCCAACAGCAGGGAGUCCAGACUGCUCUUGACAAACUCACACACCUGACGGAAAGAAAGAGAAUAAGAAAAGUCACACCAGCUGUAGAGACCGGACCCCUGGGGGUCACUGACAUGUGAGACGAGGGGAAAGGCACGAACGACCCUGGAGCUCUGGCAGUGGGAACACUGCAGAUUGUGCGUGAGCAGGGGACACCCACGUGCAUGAAGGAAUGGUCCAGAAAACGUAUCCUAACCUCACAUUUUAUAUCAACGGAAAUUAGCACCAGCGCAAGAAAAGCUUGCAGCAAGCGUCCCAUAACUGGUUAGAGAUGAGUGAGUUACAUGCCUUCCACUAGGGGUGGUUCAGACGUUUGUAUGUGUGUGUGGGAGAGAACACAAGUGAGAGUGAUCUCGAGACCAGCUCCACAGGCCUGGGGCAUGUGUGGAGGUCAGAAGACAACCUCAAGUAUCACUCCUCAACAGCUACCCUGUUUGAGAUGGUGUCUUUUUGUUUUCUCCACUGGAUACACCAGACUAGCUGGCUCACAAGUUUCUAGCUGUUCUCCCAACUCUACCUUCUAUUCUCCACGGGAUUACUAUGGUUACAGAUGCUUACUGCUGUGCCUGGCUUUAUAAAGGUUCUUGGAGCUCGACCUUAGAUCUUCAACCUUGCAGGGCAAGCCAUCUAUCCUUGAAGCCAUCUCCCCAGCCCAGGUCUUUUCAUGAGCAAAUAUGCAGCUACAGUAUACAAGGGCCUCCAAUCGCCAACGUGAUUAGUAUGUUUAUAACCGUGUCUAGGACUUGGAGCAAUCUUCCCUAUUUUAAGUCAUUGUAAAGGUUUGAUCGUAUCUUAGGUUUUAUGAUGUGGAGUUGGGCUGCUCUGCGCUUUAUUUCCAGCUGGUAAAAUAAAGUUUCAAAUUAUAGCCCUCUCCCUGUGGGAAAAGAUAAUCCAAUUUAUGACUUUCCAAGAAGAAUCCUGUCCAAAUUCUACUCUAGGAUGCUCAGCCAAAGAAAAUGAUGGGACCCCCGUUGCUUGACUCGUUUAAAUCCAAUUUGUGUGAUGUGCUGGCCAUUAUUCCAUAGAGAGAGAGAGCGUCUGCACAGAGAUGGGAUAAACACUGAAGUUCUGUGGUGCCUUUUCUGUAGUUCAAACUGCAGUAUUCCUGCUCCGGAGGCCAGAUAUUGGACACUUACAGCAAUUUCACUGGCACAAGAAAGCACCACUUUUCACAAUUUACAUGAAGACUCCUUACAGGGAAGAAACCCCUUAAUUGGCACUUUUUUUUCCCCUAUAGCAUUUAAAUAUCAGGCCAGCUGGAUUCCCACAGCCCUUGUGAAUUUAAUCAGCAUGCUUUUCCCAGAACCUAUAGUCUCUAAUCACCCAGUGUUUGAGCUACAUCUGUCGCCCAAAUCUGCUUGUGAUCAUUUGUCAUCGUUAGCGCUCUUCGUCUAGAAGAGUCAUCCGAGGCACCCUCAGAGGCUCUCAUUUUGUAAAAGAGGCCUAAGGGAAACAGUGUUGUCCUUCUUGGAGUUUAAGUGCCUUCCAAGCAUCACGGGCUUGUUCACCUUCUAAUUCUCCCUUACCUAAAUUCCUGUGAGCAACGGUCUUUCAAGGCUCAUUAUGUGGUCAUUAUGAGGCUACAAUUUCCCCAGCCGUACCCUCAACUUGUAUUUCGAGCCUUACCAAAUACACCUCCAAAUUUCAGUUUUUCUUGUGUGUGUGUGUAUGUGUGUGUGUGUGUGUGUGUGUGUGUGUGUGUGUGUGUGUCUACGGACAACUGGAUGAUACUAAAUAAAAAUGUCACUUUGCUCCAUUCCCCUGCCUGAGCCACUGUGGUUCAUUAACCACAGCUUUUAGUCUUUAAACCAAUCUAAUGUGACCAGGACCCUGAGUCAUUUUGGAUUAAACUUGAACAUCGCUAAGACCACAGCGUGUCAUAACAACAAAGACACAUUAGCUUGGGAGGUACUUGAAGCUCUUAGCAUGUCCUGUUGAGGAGACAGAAAAUAGGCAUGGAACAGUUAACUGGGAGAUGUUGCCCAAAUGACACAGGAACAUGUCACUAGUGUGGACACAGGGAGAGUUAACUAUCUAGCUGCCCAGGGAGUUCAAGGCUACCAUGAAAGAAAUCCAAAAGGCAGAUACGGGUCUGGGGAUGUGUCUUAGCCCAUGAAAUGUUUAUAGCACCCGAGGACCUGAACUCCUGCUUGCAACACCUGCAGACGGGUGAGGUGUGGAUACAUAGAAUAGUAUCAUCUGUAGUCCUAGGGCUGGAGGCAGGGGAGUCAGUUUAGCAGAAUCAGGCGGCUGCAGGUGCAGUGAGAAACACUGUCUCAAAAAAAACAAGGUGGAGAGCUAGGGAGAUGACUUCAUGGAUUAAAACCGUGCAAGCAUGAAGACCUGAGCUGGGAUUGCCAUCAAGUCAGGCAAGUGUGGCAGUGUGUCUGCAAUUCCAGUACCCAAGAGGGCAGUGACAGGGACAGCUCGGCAGUUGGGACUAGCUGGAUUCCAAAGCUCACGUUCAGCAAGAGACCCUGUCUCAGAAAGGAGAGACGUGACCAAGGACAUUUGAUGUCAAACUAGUCUUUGGGGCUUCACGUGCUUUUACACAAUAUGCUCCCUUAUGCAUGCUAACACACAGACAAAAGGCACACACAGUCCGUAUACAUACAACAAAAUAAGGUGGAGAGGAACUGGGGACGAGUUUACGGUAACCUCUGGCUUCCACAUGCAUGUGAACAAACACAUACAUCUACACAAACAUACACACAAAGGGUACUCAUAUGUUCCUUAGUGAUUGAAGAGUGCUGGUGAUGGGGUUUAAAGCUUACUGGUGGUAACAUUGAGAUAACUUGCAAAAUACAGGAAUUUGUUUAAAAUGUGUAUUACAUUUUAUUUGGUGUGUGCGUGCGUGUGUGUGUGUGUGUGUGUGUGUGUGUGCGUGUGUUUGCGUGCAUGCAUGCACAGGCAUGUGCACAUGUGCUAAACGUUUUUCAGAGGACAGCUUGCUUGAGUCAAUUCUCUCCUUCCAGGGAUUGAACUCAGGUCAUUAGGUUCCGCAGCAAGUGGCUUUACGUACUAAGCUGUCUUGUCAGUCCAAAACACAGGACUGCAUGGACCAUGAAAAUCACACUACCAGCGUCCUUCUCUCACAGAGGACCAGAAUCCCACACAUGAGAUAAUAGAUGACGUACAAGAGCUAAAGGCACUGACUCUGACAGGCAUCCAAUAGCUGUUUGUUUAAAAAAAAAAAAAAAAAAAAGCUCAGAGAAGGGACUCGCUGGGUUGAAGAUUAAAGAGGGCUGGAGUCUGAAGAGAGACGUACAGAGAUAGAAAGGAACUGCUCACAGGCACAUCCACCUCAGAAGUGAUUCCAGAUAUGGGGGCAUGACUCCCAUCACGGUCAACUCACAAGGCCUGACAAAAACAUUUUUCCUCUAUUGUUUACAAAAGGGAAUAAAUACCCAAGCUGGGGGCGGGGGAGAGAUUCUCAAGGCGUUUGCCACCAGCAACUAAAUGUUAAGCUAUGCCGGGGGAAGAGACAUGCAGAAUAGAAAGGGAAAGAAUAGUCUCUCUCUCUCUCUCUCUCUCUCUCUCUCUCUCUCUCUCUCUCAAAAAUUCUCUCUCAACUGGUUUGAGAAGUUCUCGAUCUCUCCCAAACAAACGGAUGCAAAGAUCCUCUAUCAUCCAAGUCAGGAAAUAAGUUUAAAAAAAAAAAAAAACGUGUAAAAGGAAUUUUGGUCCUCAUUCUCCUGGCUCGUGUUGGGAACGUAUCUGUGAGACUCUCUGGAAGGCACAGCGCAUCUCAAUGAGCUGCAUGUACAGCAGUUUGUCUCAUUCUGAAGACAAUUAUAUAAAGUUUAUUCAGGACGACUUUUUUUUUUUUUUUUUUUUUUUUUAACUUCAGAACUCAAGAGAAGCCGCAUUAUCCAUCGAGAGCUGACUUAAAAAGUACGGUACGGGUGAAAACUCCUGUAUCAAUAUCAAACGGUGGUUUGCUCACGGGAUCCAUCCUCCCCCCACCCCCCCCAGCACAUACAAAUAUAGAACAUGACCAUAAAAAGUCACGGACUGCGCCCUGGCUAGCUAAUUUAUGACAGCACAUCCAGCUCGGAAUGCCAGCUGGAACUCCCUUCUCCUCGCCUGGCACGGUUCACAUACACAGCGUUGUAAGAAGAUGAAAACUCUGUCCAGAAAAGACCACUUCAGUUAGGGCUUGCUGAAGCAGCAGCCAAGAGGCACAUCUGAGGAAAAGGCCCCAGCAGGCUCUUCCAAGGCAGCUAAGAUUUGGUGAAUGAGUCAGCAACUUCUUUUUAAAUUUGAUUUUUUUUUUUUUUUGAUUCAGGUCUUGAGAGUGAUCUUGUAACCCUUCCAGCUUUUUGAUACCGGGUUUACGAUGGCCGGCAAGAGGGCGUUUCGUUUUUUUUUUUUUUCAGUAAAGAAUGAUAAGCAGCCGAUAAUUAUUUUAUAAAGAAUUCAAAGUGAUCUUGACAUGAAACAAGAAAAGGAUAAUGAAGAAAAAAAAUGCCUCAGUCAAAUAAAUGCGGUUUUAUCCAUUGUGUGGUAUUUAUCACCGAAGCUAUCUGAAAUUCUAACAAACUUGGAGUGAGAGAGUUGAAACAAAGGACAACCUCUCUCUCUCUAUGAACCUUCACCCCUCAGAUAAUCUCCCAGAUCUGCAGCCUGUGCUAAUCACCUCACUUCCUUUGGACAGACGUUCAUUAUCUGAUUCGGGUCUUACACAAAGAGAGAUGAGCUAAUGUGCCUUAUCAGAUUAAAAACAACAACGACAAAGCCACCCCGAGUGACAGUUCAGCGGGACAGGAUCUUAGCAAAUCCUUUUUGCCUCCACAAGCUGUGAGCUUCCAAAUAGCUAUAAUGCUACCAGUCCCAGUCAGAGCUCACAGCUCAUCACCGCUUUAUGCUGCUAAAGCAAACAGUCU